GACGAACGCUGGCGGCGUGCUUAACACAUGCAAGUCGAACGCUGAAGCUUGGUGCUUGCCCUGGGUGGCUGAGUGGCGAACGGGUGAGUAAUACGUGAGUAACCUGCCCUUGACUCUGGGAUAAGCCUGGGAAACUGGGUCUAAUACUGGAUACGACAUGUCACCGCAUGGUGGCGUGUGGAAAGGGUUUUACUGGUUUUGGAUGGGCUCACGGCCUAUCAGCUUGUUGGUGGGGUAAUGGCUCACCAAGGCGACGACGGGUAGCCGGCCUGAGAGGGUGACCGGCCACACUGGGACUGAGACACGGCCCAGACUCCUACGGGAGGCAGCAGUGGGGAAUAUUGCACAAUGGGCGAAAGCCUGAUGCAGCGACGCCGCGUGGGGGAUGACGGCCUUCGGGUUGUAAACCUCUUUCAGCACGGAAGAAGCGAAAGUGACGGUACGUGCAGAAGAAGCGCCGGCUAACUACGU
RNAcentral lists this ribosomal RNA (471 nucleotides) under uncultured bacterium. RNAcentral's name for it is "partial 16S ribosomal RNA". It matches the Rfam family "Bacterial small subunit ribosomal RNA", at positions 28 to 506 of the family's 1533-position model. The record is from RNAcentral.